RNAcentral lists this transfer-messenger RNA (354 nucleotides) under Verrucomicrobiota bacterium. Its description in RNAcentral is "Verrucomicrobia bacterium (groundwater metagenome) transfer-messenger RNA". It matches the Rfam family "transfer-messenger RNA". Rfam says of the family: Bacterial tmRNA, also known as 10Sa RNA or SsrA, is named for its dual tRNA and mRNA-like properties. The record is from RNAcentral. Lineage: Bacteria; Pseudomonadati; Verrucomicrobiota.
GGGGGCGUACUGGUUUCGACCUGGAAGGUGCGCCAGAGGCGGCAUGCCGAGGACGAUGCGUUGGCCUCGUUAAUCAUCGCAUCAAAACAAAACAGCUAACGAAGAGUUGGCCCUCGCGGCCUAAUAAUCCGCGACGUUCACUGGUGGACACCUGCUACGCCGGAUGAACGCUACAGCAGGCAUGGUUGUCGGCGGAGACCGCGCGCUGGCAGCCGAGAAAAUCCCAUGCGGACUAGGCUGCUGGAUUCGUGUCGGAAGGUUAUCCAGGGGCUGAAACUCGCUUCCGGCUAAGCAUGUAGUCGCGGCUGGUGAAUCGGCCAUGGGACAGGGGUUCAACUCCCCUCGCCUCCACCA